AAGAUGGCGACCUCCGUGUUAAACACGCUGCUGAGGCGGCUUACUGUCUUUUCGUCCUUCCGAAGUGCCUACGGAGUUCAGGUUCCCCUUCAGAGUCUUUGCACCAAAGCCCCCUCUGAGAGAGAUUCUUCACCCCCAUUUCCUAUUUCCCCUUAUAAAGAUGAACCCUGGAAAUACCUGGAAUCAGAAGAAUAUCAGAACCGCUAUGGUUCCCGCCCCGUCUGGGCUGACUACCGCCGCAACCACAAAGGUGGUGUACCUCCACAGAGGACUCGAAAGACAUGUAUCCGUAGGAAUAAAGUUGCUGGGAAUCCUUGCCCCAUCUGCCGGGAUCACAAGUUGCAUGUUGACUUUAGGGUGUCUGUAUGAAGCAACACAAGAAGUUGACACAGGCUAUCCAGAAAGCCAGGGAUCAUGGUCUCCUUAGUUACCACAUUCCCCAGGUUGAACCCCGAGACCUUGACUUCAGUACCUCUCAUGGAGCUGUGAGUGCUACUCCGCCAGCCCCCACCCUGGUUUCGGGGGACCCUUGGUACCCAUGGUACAACUGGGAACAACCUUCAGAGACAGAAUUGUCCUGCAUUCACCGCCGUUAUCAGGGUCAUCUCCAAGAAGAGAGUGGCCCUCCACCUGAGUCAAUGCCUGAGGUGCCCCCCACAACAGCCGAAGCUUCCUUUACUGAGCAGACCAGUCCCCAGAGUGCUUCAUAGGAGCCAUAGACUGGGAAGGGGGCCUGACUAGGAAGUGGUGCCUAGGAUUACAUAAAUGGGAUGUUACCCUGAAGAUUUAUAAUUUAGGCAGGUCCAGGAAGGACAUGAAUGUUGUUGAAGGGGAUACAUCUGAGGCUGAGGGAGGGAAGCACAGAUGUGUAUCAGAAACCCCAACCCCUAUAUAUUGUCAGUAGAUGGUUUAAAAAUUUGUUGCUCUUUCAGACUUCUGCCAACUCAGCUUUUCCACAAUAAAGCUGUAUCUUCUGUCUCUGA
This is an RNA transcript of Nycticebus coucang (slow loris), 983 nucleotides long. It is a transcript of the gene named 28S ribosomal protein S18b, mitochondrial-like, with no coding region annotated. The record is from RefSeq and is a predicted model, not a curated record. The transcript has a single exon. Lineage: Eukaryota; Metazoa; Chordata; Mammalia; Primates; Lorisidae.